Molecule: transfer RNA, 88 nt
Filed under: Magnetococcales bacterium
Lineage: Bacteria; Pseudomonadati; Pseudomonadota; Magnetococcia; Magnetococcales
Also listed under: 1 other name
Description: tRNA-Ser
Rfam family: tRNA
About the family: Transfer RNA (tRNA) molecules are approximately 80 nucleotides in length. Their secondary structure includes four short double-helical elements and three loops (D, anti-codon, and T loops). Further hydrogen bonds mediate the characteristic L-shaped molecular structure. tRNAs have two regions of fundamental functional importance: the anti-codon, which is responsible for specific mRNA codon recognition, and the 3' end, to which the tRNAs corresponding amino acid is attached (by aminoacyl-tRNA synthetases). tRNAs cope with the degeneracy of the genetic code in two manners: having more than one tRNA (with a specific anti-codon) for a particular amino acid; and 'wobble' base-pairing, i.e. permitting non-standard base-pairing at the 3rd anti-codon position.
Source: RNAcentral
GGAAGGGUGGCAGAGCGGUUGAAUGCAACGGUCUUGAAAACCGUCGAUGGGCAACCAUCCGUGGGUUCAAAUCCCACCCCUUCCGCCA